RNAcentral lists this small RNA (29 nucleotides) under Bombyx mori (domestic silkworm). RNAcentral's name for it is "ovarian small RNA-35024". Lineage: Eukaryota; Metazoa; Arthropoda; Insecta; Lepidoptera; Bombycidae. The record is from RNAcentral.
UGGGCUGGGUGAUGGCCCACGUGCAGUUU